CUAAUACAUGCAAGUCGAACGCUUUUUCUUUCACCGGAGCUUGCUCCACCGAAAGAAAAGGAGUGGCGAACGGGUGAGUAACACGUGGGUAACCUGCCCAUCAGAAGGGGAUAACACUUGGAAACAGGUGCUAAUACCGUAUAACAAUCGAAACCGCAUGGUUUCGGUUUGAAAGGCGCUUUUGCGUCACUGAUGGAUGGACCCGCGGUGCAUUAGCUAGUUGGUGAGGUAACGGCUCACCAAGGCAACGAUGCAUAGCCGACCUGAGAGGGUGAUCGGCCACAUUGGGACUGAGACACGGCCCAAACUCCUACGGGAGGCAGCAGUAGGGAAUCUUCGGCAAUGGACGCAAGUCUGACCGAGCAACGCCGCGUGAGUGAAGAAGGUUUUCGGAUCGUAAAACUCUGUUGUUAGAGAAGAACAAGGAUGAGAGUAAAGUUCAUCCCUUGACGGUAUCUAACCAGAAAGCCACGGCUAAC
This 479-nucleotide ribosomal RNA is filed under the name Enterococcus avium. RNAcentral's name for it is "bacterial SSU rRNA". It matches the Rfam family "Bacterial small subunit ribosomal RNA", at positions 48 to 501 of the family's 1533-position model. Lineage: Bacteria; Bacillati; Bacillota; Bacilli; Lactobacillales; Enterococcaceae. The record is from RNAcentral.